This 73-nucleotide transfer RNA is filed under the name Aeriscardovia aeriphila. It matches the Rfam family "tRNA". Rfam says of the family: Transfer RNA (tRNA) molecules are approximately 80 nucleotides in length. The record is from Rfam by way of RNAcentral. Lineage: Bacteria; Bacillati; Actinomycetota; Actinomycetes; Bifidobacteriales; Bifidobacteriaceae.
GCCCCGGUAGCUCAGUGGAUAGAGCAGUGGACUUCUAAUCCUCGUGUCGGGAGUUCGAUUCUCCCUCGGGGCA